This 253-nucleotide ribosomal RNA is filed under the name uncultured bacterium. RNAcentral describes it as "partial 16S ribosomal RNA". It matches the Rfam family "Bacterial small subunit ribosomal RNA", at positions 524 to 776 of the family's 1533-position model. The record is from RNAcentral.
GACGUAGGAGGCGAGCGUUAUCCGGAUUUACUGGGCGUAAAGCGCACGCAGGCGGCUUCGUUAGUCGGAUGUGAAAGCUCCUGGCUUAACUGGGAGAGGUCAUUCGAUACUGCGAGGCUUGAGGUAGGGAGAGGGGUGUGGAAUUCCCGGUGUAGUGGUGGAAUGCGUAGAUAUCGGGAGGAACACCUGUGGCGAAAGCGGCACCCUGGCCCUCACCUGACGCUGAGGUGCGAAAGCGUGGGUAGCAAACAGG